UAGAGUUUGAUCCUGGCUCAGAACGAACGCUGGCGGCAGGCCUAACACAUGCAAGUCGAACGUGAAGCUGGAGCUUGCUCCAGUGGAAAGUGGCAGACGGGUGAGUAACGCGUGGGAACCUACCCAGUAGUACGGAACAACAGUUGGAAACGACUGCUAAUACCGUAUACGUCCUUCGGGAGAAAGAUUUAUCGCUAUUGGAUGGGCCCGCGUUGGAUUAGCUUGUUGGUGAGGUAACGGCUCACCAAGGCGACGAUCCAUAGCUGGUCUGAGAGGACGAUCAGCCACACUGGGACUUAGACACGGCCCAGACUCCUACGGGAGGCAGCAGUGGGGAAUAUUGCACAAUGGGCGCAAGCCUGAUGCAGCCAUGCCGCGUGAGUG
This 384-nucleotide ribosomal RNA is filed under the name uncultured bacterium. RNAcentral describes it as "bacterial SSU rRNA". It matches the Rfam family "Bacterial small subunit ribosomal RNA", at positions 1 to 407 of the family's 1533-position model. The record is from RNAcentral.